Molecule: long non-coding RNA, 1431 nt
Filed under: Sus scrofa (pig)
Lineage: Eukaryota; Metazoa; Chordata; Mammalia; Artiodactyla; Suidae
Description: lncRNA (ENSSSCG00045006331.1)
Source: RNAcentral
AUGGGUCUCUGCUCAUGGGUGUCUGUGUUGGUGUGUGGACAUGUGUCCAGGUGGUCUGUGAGUCUGGGCUCCUGCGGGUGUAUGCCCCGAUGUAUGAACCUAUUUUUUUCUGUCUCUAUGCGCAGGGAUUUGUGUGUACUGUGUAGACACCACUCCAAGUGGUUCUGCCUGAACCUUCAGCCUCCCCGGGGCCUUGGGUCCGAUGCGUAUGGCCGGACUCCGCUCAUUUGCGUGGGGAACCGCGUAUGUCUUCAGGGAUGCAUGUGGGCUCAGGGUGUGUACAGGCCACUCCUACCAGGUCCCACAUGUGCCUGGGAGCGCAGGGACACUGCGAGCAGCCCGGGACCCAGCCCUGGUGGGGACAGAGCGCUGGCCUGCGCUGCAGUGACGGGUUUGCUUUUUGCUCGACUCUUCGAGAGAGAGACGGAGUGAAGAGGUGAGAGCAGCGUCCACCCGGCUGGGACCGCCAUCUCACGGCCUUUCUGCUGGCUCCUCCCUCUGCUGCCCUGUUCAGUUUCCAGCCCACGGCAGGGGAUUGGAGACACGGAGACCUCCUUGUCCCCUCCACCUGCCCUUCCAGGUUUCAAUGUUUUUUUUUCUUAUUCUGCAUGCAUUUUUCCUUUUUGAGAAAAAUGAGAUGUUGGCUCCCGUGGAGAAAAAGUAAUAUAUAUAAAUAUAUUUCUUAUAGCAGAGGAGGAAAGAUACAGAAAAGCACAUAAAAAAGACGGUCAUUUGUGCUCUCUACCCUCCCCUCCCACCUAGAGAGGUUGGGACAUGUUUCUGGGGUGUGUGUCCAUCUGGGUCUGUUGCCUCUUCUCUGCCCACUGGCCUCCGUGUCUGUCUCUGUCUCUCCAUCCUCUGGCCCACAGACACGGGCUCUCCCUCUGGACUGCCAGCCUCUUGGUUCUUUGAGACAUUCAUUCGUAAAACUUGUUCCAAAGAGGAAACCGCCACCCCCCACCCCCCACGGCCCCUGCGGCUUUGUGACUGCACGUGCCUCCCUGUGUAUCUGUGUGAGCCCCCUGUGCUGGCUCUGUCUUUCUCAGCCCCUUCCCUGCCUCCCUUUCUCUACAGUUUCACUGACCUCCCUUCCAGGAAUUGCGGUUCCUCGGUGUGUAAUGUGUGCGUGUGCGGUGUGCGUGGCGUGUGGAGCAUGUGCGUUUUCCUGACCCUUCCAGGCUGCGGCCCCGCGCUGCCGUUCGUCUCUUUGCUCAUCCUCUGCCCCUUCGUCUCUUCCCUCCCUCCCCUCCUAAAAAUUCCAACCAGACCUCGUGCUGGACACACACACACAGUCCCUCGUCUUUUUCUCUCAUCUCUGUCUUCUUUUCCCAUUUUUCUCUUGGGGCUCCAGAAAGCUGUGGUUUGCAGAGAGAAAGAGAGAGACCGACAGAAACACAGAAAUAAAGGACUGGCCGGGAAGAGACGUGGAGG